This 253-nucleotide ribosomal RNA is filed under the name uncultured bacterium. RNAcentral describes it as "partial 16S ribosomal RNA". It matches the Rfam family "Bacterial small subunit ribosomal RNA", at positions 524 to 776 of the family's 1533-position model. The record is from RNAcentral.
UACGUAGGGUGCAAGCGUUAUCCGGAAUUAUUGGGCGUAAAGAGCUCGUAGGCGGUUUGUCGCGUCUGCUGUGAAAACCCGAGGCUCAACCUCGGGCCUGCAGUGGGUACGGGCAAACUAGAGUGCGGUAGGGGAGAUUGGAAUUCCUGGUGUAGCGGUGGAAUGCGCAGAUAUCAGGAGGAACACCGAUGGCGAAGGCAGAUCUCUGGGCCGUAACUGACGCUGAGGAGCGAAAGCAUGGGGAGCGAACAGG